Molecule: long non-coding RNA, 456 nt
Filed under: Cyanistes caeruleus (blue tit)
Lineage: Eukaryota; Metazoa; Chordata; Aves; Passeriformes; Paridae
Description: lncRNA (ENSCCEG00000018283.1)
Source: RNAcentral
AAUAUAGCUGACUAAAACUGUAAAAAUAUAUGAUAAUGAAACUGAUCCAAAACUGCAUCUGUUUCAGAUAUAAUAUACAUUGGGACAGUGUAGCAAGUGUAUUUCCAUCAAAGAAGCAUCAAGACUCAAGAAUAUCCUUGACCUUUAUGAACAGCACCAAGUCUUGUUUUGCUGCUAAUGAAAAGCCUUCUGCCAUAGAAGACAUAUUUGCUGCCUCAGUGGGCCGGUGGCCUUCCUCUAAAUCCAUUGUUGAAGGAUCCUCUUCCAGACUGCUCCUAGCUGGGUAAAGUAUAUUUUACUCUAUGAGUAAUGUAGGUAACAUAUAUAUUUACACAUUGAUAUGUUUUCUGUCCCUCUGGGAAAAUGUGAAACUCAUAAUUAUCCCACUAACGUGAAUUUCUGCUUAACACUUGAAACAAUAAUAAAAGAAAACAGUUUAUUCUAGUGAAAUGUAAA